This 217-nucleotide unclassified non-coding RNA is filed under the name uncultured Dioszegia. RNAcentral's name for it is "partial contains 5.8S ribosomal RNA, internal transcribed spacer 2, and large subunit ribosomal RNA". The stretch from base 1 to 52 matches the Rfam family "5.8S ribosomal RNA", at positions 103 to 154 of the family's 154-position model. Lineage: Eukaryota; Fungi; Basidiomycota; Tremellomycetes; Tremellales; Bulleribasidiaceae. The record is from RNAcentral.
AACGCAAAUUGCGCCUUUUGGUAUUCCGAAAGGCAUGCCUGUUUGAGUGUCUUAUAAACCUCUCUCUACUAUUUACUUAGUGGUGAGCUUUGGGUGUUGCCAGCGAUGGCUCGCCUUAAAUGUCUAAGUGGAAUGCAUAAUAAGUUCUUGCAACCCUCCACUCUAACACACUUUAUAUUCUGACCUCAAAUCAGGUAGGACUACCCGCUGAACUUAA